AGAAUCAACGCUGGCGGCGUGCCUAACACAUGCAAGUCGAACGAGAAAGGGAUUUCGGUCCUGAGUAUAGUGGCGCACGGGUGAGUAACACGUGAAUAAUCUACCUCCGAGUGGGGAAUAACUGAGAGAAAUCUUAGCUAAUACCGCAUAACACUUACGAGUCAAAGCAGCAAUGCGCUUGGAGAGGAGUUCGCGGCCGAUUAGUUAGUUGGCGGGGUAAUAGCCCACCAAGACGAUGAUCGGUAU
RNAcentral lists this ribosomal RNA (246 nucleotides) under uncultured bacterium. RNAcentral describes it as "partial small subunit ribosomal RNA". It matches the Rfam family "Bacterial small subunit ribosomal RNA", at positions 26 to 286 of the family's 1533-position model. The record is from RNAcentral.